Molecule: ribosomal RNA, 253 nt
Filed under: uncultured bacterium
Lineage: Bacteria
Description: partial 16S ribosomal RNA
Rfam family: Bacterial small subunit ribosomal RNA
Source: RNAcentral
UACAGAGGUCUCAAGCGUUGUUCGGAUUCAUUGGGCGUAAAGGGUGUGUAGGUGGCGCGCUAAGUCGGGUGUGAAAUUUCGGAGCUUAACUCCGAAACUGCAUUCGAUACUGGCGUGCUUGAGGACUGGAGAGGAGACUGGAAUUUACGGUGUAGCAGUGAAAUGCGUAGAUAUCGUAAGGAAGACCAGUGGCGAAGGCGGGUCUCUGGACCGGUACUGACGCUGAGGAGCGAAAGCGUGGGGAGCAAACAGG